This 209-nucleotide unclassified non-coding RNA is filed under the name Hevea brasiliensis (rubber tree). The record is from RNAcentral. Lineage: Eukaryota; Viridiplantae; Streptophyta; Magnoliopsida; Malpighiales; Euphorbiaceae.
GGCAAAGAAUACAGGCCAAACCGAAACUUUGAUAGGAUUAUCAGAAUGCUGAGACAAAAAAGCAUAUGAUAUUGCUGCAAAAAUGAAUUGAAAAACAGCACAAAUUAAUCCAAUAAUGUCAGGAAAGGUCCCAAAAGGCUUUGGAUUUGGAUAUGGAUAAUAAAACCAAGGCAUCAACCCACUCCUCAUCCAAGUAACUCUUUCUUUUC